GGCCUAGUAGUGUAGUGGUAACACGCCCAUUUUCUUUAAAUGCCUGCAACAUAGCUUUAUAAAUGGGUGUCCCUUGUUCGACUCAAGGCUAGGCCA
This is a non-coding RNA of Mycena vulgaris, 96 nucleotides long. NCBI's taxonomy places the organism in Eukaryota, Fungi, Basidiomycota, Agaricomycetes, Agaricales, Mycenaceae. The record is from the annotation of a GenBank genome assembly.